CUGCCUGUGAUCUGCCCUGGGACAAGUUCUCUUUGUGGCUCUCCUGCAGCUAGAGAGCAGAUUGCCAGGUCCUGAAUCCUGGAGCAAUAUCCUUAGGUCCUUUUUCCUUUUUACUGAAUUGAAAGUUUUCAAGGCUUGAAUUCUAGAAACAAGUAAUGGUACAUGGAUCCUGUUGACAGGAUACUGAUACUGGAUACAGUUAAAAAAAAAGAAACUCAAUCUUGAAAAAUAAAAAAUAGAAACC
This is a long non-coding RNA of Pipra filicauda (Wire-tailed manakin), 244 nucleotides long. RefSeq lists it as uncharacterized. The record is from RefSeq and is a predicted model, not a curated record. NCBI's taxonomy places the organism in Eukaryota, Metazoa, Chordata, Aves, Passeriformes, Pipridae. The transcript has 3 exons.